This 2995-nucleotide ribosomal RNA is filed under the name Lactiplantibacillus pentosus. RNAcentral describes it as "bacterial LSU rRNA". It matches the Rfam family "Bacterial large subunit ribosomal RNA". The record is from RNAcentral. Lineage: Bacteria; Bacillati; Bacillota; Bacilli; Lactobacillales; Lactobacillaceae.
AGGGCGCAUGGUGAAUGCCUUGGCACUAGGAGCCGAUGAAGGACGGGACUAACACCGAUAUGCUUCGGGGAGCUGUACGUAAGCUAUGAUCCGGAGAUUUCCGAAUGGGGCAACCCAGCAGUUUUAAUCAACUGUUACCACUAGAUGAAUUCAUAGUCUAGUUGGAGGUAAACGCUGUGAACUGAAACAUCUCAUUAGCAGCAGGAAUAUAAAGAAAUUUCGAUUCCCUAAGUAGCGGCGAGCGAACGGGGAACAGCCCAAACCAAAGUGCUUGCACUUUGGGGUUGUAGGACUGAACAUUUGAGUUACCAAAGAACUUGAUAGUCGAAGGAUUUGGGAAAAUCCGCCAUAGAUGGUGAUAGCCCAGUAGAUUAAAUCAAAUUCUCUCAGUUCAGNGAGUUACCAAAGAACUUGAUAGUCGAAGGAUUUGGGAAAAUCCGCCAUAGAUGGUGAUAGCCCAGUAGAUUAAAUCAAAUUCUCUCAGUUCAGGAUCCUGAGUACGGCGGAACACGUGAAAUUCCGUCGGAAUCCGGGAGGACCAUCUCCCAAGGCUAAAUACUACCUAGUGACCGAUAGUGAACCAGUACCGUGAGGGAAAGGUGAAAAGCACCCCGGGAGGGGAGUGAAAUAGUUCCUGAAACCAUGUGCCUACAAUAAGUCAGAGCGCGUUAANACCAGUACCGUGAGGGAAAGGUGAAAAGCACCCCGGGAGGGGAGUGAAAUAGUUCCUGAAACCAUGUGCCUACAAUAAGUCAGAGCGCGUUAAUGCGUGAUGGCGUGCCUUUUGUAGAAUGAACCGGCGAGUUAUGAUCCCGUGCAAGGUUAAGACUAAAAAGUCGGAGCCGUAGCGAAAGCGAGUCUGAAAUGGGCGAUUUGAGUACGAGGUUAUAGACCCGAAACCAGGUGACCUAUCCAUGUCCAGGUUGAAGGUGCGGUAAAACGCACUGGAGGACCGAACCCGUGUAAGUUGAAAAUUGCUGGGAUGAGGUGUGGAUAGCGGUGAAAUUCCAAACGAACUUGGAGAUAGCUGGUUCUCUCCGAAAUAGCUUUAGGGCUAGCCUCGGAUUAAGGAUCAUGGAGGUAGAGCACUAUUUGGACUAGGGGCCCGUCUUGGGUUACUGAAUUCAGAUAAACUCCGAAUGCCAUUGAUUCAUGUCCGGGAGUCAGACGAUGAGUGAUAAGAUCCACCGUCGAAAGGGGAACAGCCCAGACCAUCAGUUAAGGUCCCUAAAUGUAUGCUAAGUGGAAAAGGAUGUGGAGUUGCAUAGACAACUAGGAUGUUGGCUCAGAAGCAGCCACCAUUUAAAGAGUGCGUAAUAGCUCACUAGUCGAGUGAUCCUGCGCCGAAAAUGUACCGGGGCUAAGCAUACUACCGAAACCAUGGAUGCGACCAUUAGGUCGCGUGAUAGGAGAGCGUUCUAAGGGCGGUGAAGCAAGAUCGUGAGGACUUGUGGAGCGCUUAGAAGUGAGAAUGCCGGUAUGAGUAGCGAAAGAUAGGUGAGAAUCCUAUCCACCGAAUGACUAAGGUUUCCUGGGGAAGGCUCGUCCUCCCAGGGUUAGUCGGGACCUAAGUCGAGGCCGAGAGGCGUAGACGAUGGAUAACAGGUUGAGAUUCCUGUACUAGUUAAGUGCGUUUGAGCAAUGGAGGGACGCAGGAGGCUAAGAUGUGCAUUCUGUUGGAUUAGAAUGUCCAAGCAGUAAGUCUUGUGGAGAGUCAAAUGCUUUUCACUUUAAGGACAAGCUGUGAUGGGGAGCGAAAUUUAGUAGCGAAGCGUCUGAUGUCACACUGCCGAGAAAAGCUUCUAGUGAGUACUUAACUACCCGUACCGCAAACCGACACAGGUAGUCGAGGAGAGAAUCCUAAGGUGAGCGAGUGAACUCUCGUUAAGGAACUCGGCAAAAUGACCCCGUAACUUCGGGAGAAGGGGUGCUGAUCGCAAGAUCAGCCGCAGUGAAUAGGCCCAGGCGACUGUUUAUCAAAAACACAGGUCUCUGCAAAAUCGUAAGAUGACGUAUAGGGGCUGACGCCUGCCCGGUGCUGGAAGGUUAAAAGGAUGGGUUAGCUUCGGCGAAGCUCAGAAUUGAAGCCCCAGUAAACGGCGGCCGUAACUAUAACGGUCCUAAGGUAGCGAAAUUCCUUGUCGGGUAAGUUCCGACCCGCACGAAAGGCGUAACGAUCUGGGCACUGUCUCAACGAGAGACUCGGUGAAAUUAUAUUGUCCGUGAAGAUGCGGACUACCCGCGACAGGACGGAAAGACCCCAUGGAGCUUUACUGUAGCUUGAUAUUGAGUGUUUGUACAGCUUGUACAGGAUAGGUAGGAGCCAUAGAAACCGGAACGCUAGUUUCGGUGGAGGCGUUGGUGGGAUACUACCCUCGCUGUAUGACCACUCUAACCCGCACCACUAAUCGUGGUGGGAGACAGUGUCAGGUGGGCAGUUUGACUGGGGCGGUCGCCUCCUAAAAAGUAACGGAGGCGCCCAAAGGUUCCCUCAGAAUGGUUGGAAAUCAUUCGCAGAGUGUAAAGGCACAAGGGAGCUUGACUGCGAGACAGACAGGUCGAGCAGGGACGAAAGUCGGGCUUAGUGAUCCGGUGGUACCGUAUGGAAGGGCCAUCGCUCAACGGAUAAAAGCUACCCUGGGGAUAACAGGCUUAUCUCCCCCAAGAGUCCACAUCGACGGGGAGGUUUGGCACCUCGAUGUCGGCUCAUCGCAUCCUGGGGCUGUAGUCGGUCCCAAGGGUUGGGCUGUUCGCCCAUUAAAGCGGUACGCGAGCUGGGUUCAGAACGUCGUGAGACAGUUCGGUCCCUAUCCGUCGCGGGCGUAGGAAAUUUGAGAGGACCUGUCCUUAGUACGAGAGGACCGGGAUGGACAUACCUCUGGUGUACCAGUUGUGCCGCCAGGCGCAUCGCUGGGUAGCUACGUAUGGAUGUGAUAAACGCUGAAAGCAUCUAAGUGUGAAACACACCUCGAGAUGAGAUUUCCCAUUCCUUUAU